This 460-nucleotide ribosomal RNA is filed under the name uncultured bacterium. RNAcentral's name for it is "partial 16S ribosomal RNA". It matches the Rfam family "Bacterial small subunit ribosomal RNA", at positions 338 to 795 of the family's 1533-position model. The record is from RNAcentral.
CCUACGGGAGGCAGCAGUGAGGAAUAUUGGUCAAUGGCCGGGAGGCUGAACCAGCCAAGUCGCGUGGGGGAAGACGGCCCUACGGGUUGUACACCUCUUUUGUCAGGGAGCAAGGUGCAGGUCGGGACCUGCUGUGAGAGUACCUGAAGAAAAAGCAUCGGCUAACUCCGUGCCAGCAGCCGCGGUAAUACGGAGGAUGCGAGCGUUAUCCGGGUUUAUUGGGUUUAAAGGGUGCGCAGGCGGGGGCACAAGUCAGCGGUAAAAUCGCGGGGCUCAACGUCGGAAUUGCCUCUGAUACUGUUCGGCUAGAGAGUAGGUGCGGUAGGCGGAAUGUAUGGUGUAGCGGUGAAAUGCUUAGAGAUCAUACAGAACACCGAUUGCGAAGGCAGCUUACCAAGCUACUUCUGACGUUGAGGCACGAAAGCGUGGGGAGCAAACAGGAUUAGAUACCCGUGUAGUC